Molecule: ribosomal RNA, 484 nt
Filed under: uncultured bacterium
Lineage: Bacteria
Description: partial 16S ribosomal RNA
Rfam family: Bacterial small subunit ribosomal RNA
Source: RNAcentral
AUUGAACGCUGGCGGUAUGCCUUACACAUGCAAGUCGAACGGCAACGCGUUCUUCGCUUUCCCUUCGAGUUGCCGACUGGUGGGUGAUAUAUCGGAACAUGCCCAUCAGCUUGGUAUAAGUGCUCGACGGAGCAGCUCAUACCGCAUACGACCUUACGGCGUAAGGGUGGGAUCACAGGACCUUUCGCCAUUGGACCAUCCGAUGUCCGAUUAGCUAGUUGGUGGGGUAAAGGCCUACCAAGGCAACGAUCCGUAGUUGGUCUGAGAGGACGACCAGCCACACUGGAACUGAGACACGGCCCAGACUCCUACGGGAGGCAGCAGUGGGGAAUAUUGGACAAUGGGCGCAAGCCUGAUCCAGCAAUGCCGCGUGCAGGAAGAAGGCCUUCGGGUUGUAAAGUGCUUUUGUCAGGGAAGAAAAGUUCUAGGCUAAUACCCCGCUGGGAUGACGGUACCUGAAGAAUAAGCACCGGCUAACUACGUG